UACCCCAUGGUGUAACGGUAGCACAACUGGUUUUGAUCCAGUCAGCCUAGGUUCGAAUCCUAGUGGGGUAGCCA
This 74-nucleotide transfer RNA is filed under the name Lentisphaeria bacterium. RNAcentral describes it as "tRNA-Gln". It matches the Rfam family "tRNA". From Rfam's summary of the family: Transfer RNA (tRNA) molecules are approximately 80 nucleotides in length. Lineage: Bacteria; Pseudomonadati; Lentisphaerota; Lentisphaeria. The record is from RNAcentral.